UGGGGAAUUUUGGACAAUGGGGGAAACCCUGAUCCAGCCAUCCCGCGUGUGCGAUGAAGGCCUUCGGGUUGUAAAGCACUUUUGGCAGGAAAGAAACGUCAUGGGUUAAUACCCCGUGAAACUGACGGUACCUGCAGAAUAAGCACCGGCUAACUACGUGCCAGCAGCCGCGGUAAUACGUAGGGUGCAAGCGUUAAUCGGAAUUACUGGGCGUAAAGCGUGCGCAGGCGGUUCGGGAAGAAAGAUGUGAAAUCCCAGAGCUCAACUUUGGAACUGCAUUUUUAACUACCGGGCUAGAGUGUGUCAGAGGGAGGAGGAAUUCCGCGUGUAGCAGUGAAAUACGUAGAUAUGCGGAGGAACACCGAUGGCGAAGGCAGCCUCCAGGGAUAACACUGACGCUCAUGCACGAAAGCGUGGGGAGCAAACAGG
Molecule: ribosomal RNA, 429 nt
Filed under: Acidobacteriota bacterium
Lineage: Bacteria; Pseudomonadati; Acidobacteriota
Description: Acidobacteria bacterium partial 16S ribosomal RNA
Rfam family: Bacterial small subunit ribosomal RNA
Source: RNAcentral